UACGUGGGCAGCGAGCGUUGUUCGGAAUUACUGGGCGUAAAGAGUGUGUAGGCGGUGUUCCCAGUCUGUUGUGAAAUCUCCCGGCUUAACUGGGAGGGUGCAGCGGAAACUAGAAUGCUAGAGGGUGGGAGAGGUAAGCGGAAUUCCUGGUGUAGCGGUGAAAUGCGUAGAUAUCAGGAGGAACACCUGUGGUGUAGACAGCUUACUGGACCACUUCUGACGCUGAGACACGAAAGCGUGGGUAGCAAACAGG
Molecule: ribosomal RNA, 253 nt
Filed under: uncultured bacterium
Lineage: Bacteria
Description: partial 16S ribosomal RNA
Rfam family: Bacterial small subunit ribosomal RNA
Source: RNAcentral